This 484-nucleotide ribosomal RNA is filed under the name uncultured bacterium. RNAcentral describes it as "partial 16S ribosomal RNA". It matches the Rfam family "Bacterial small subunit ribosomal RNA", at positions 30 to 507 of the family's 1533-position model. The record is from RNAcentral.
AUUGAACGCUGGCGGCAGGCCUAACACAUGCCAGUCGAGCGGAUGAAGGGAGCUUGCUCCUGGAUUCAGCGGCGGACGGGUGAGUAAUGCCUAGGAAUCUGCCUGGUAGUGGGGGAUAACGUCCGGAAACGGGCGCUAAUACCGCAUACGUCCUGAGGGAGAAAGUGGGGGAUCUUCGGACCUCACGCUAUCAGAUGAGCCUAGGUCGGAUUAGCUAGUUGGUGGGGUAAAGGCUCACCAAGGCGACGAUCCGUAACUGGUCUGAGAGGAUGAUCAGUCACACUGGAACUGAGACACGGUCCAGACUCCUACGGGAGGCAGCAGUGGGGAAUAUUGGACAAUGGGCGAAAGCCUGAUCCAGCCAUGCCGCGUGUGUGAAGAAGGUCUUCGGAUUGUAAAGCACUUUAAGUUGGGAGGAAGGGCAGUAAGUUAAUACCUUGCUGUUUUGACGGUACCAACAGAAUAAGCACCGGCUAACUUCGUG